CAAUCAUCAAGCACAGCUUGGUAUUGGAUGUCACUUCUGUAGUGCAUCUUAAAAGUAUUGGCAGCAGCAUCUAGCUUCUAGUGUAGUAAAUUUCUUGCUAUGGAGUUGGGUGUUUGACUGUCAGAACCCCUAAUAUUUUAAGA
This 143-nucleotide unclassified non-coding RNA is filed under the name uncultured Helotiales. Its description in RNAcentral is "sequence contains ITS2". Lineage: Eukaryota; Fungi; Ascomycota; Leotiomycetes; Helotiales. The record is from RNAcentral.